This 451-nucleotide ribosomal RNA is filed under the name uncultured Glomus. Its description in RNAcentral is "partial 18S ribosomal RNA". The record is from RNAcentral. Lineage: Eukaryota; Fungi; Glomeromycota; Glomeromycetes; Glomerales; Glomeraceae.
UAACAUCAUCCGAUCCCUAGUCGGCAUAGUUUAUGGUUAAGACUACGACGGUAUCUGAUCGUCUUCGAUCCCCUAACUUUCGUUCUUGAUUAAUGAAAACAUCCUUGGCAAAUGCUUUCGCAGUAGUUAGUCUUCAAUAAAUCCAAGAAUUUCACCUCUGACAAUUGAAUACUAAUGCCCCCAACUAUCCCUAUUAAUCAUUACGUCAAUCCUAGAAACCAACAAAAUAGGAUCGAACGUCCUAUUUCAUUAUUCCAUGCUAAUGUAUUCAAGCGUUAGCUUGCUUUAAACACUCUAAUUUUUUCAAAGUAACAGUCCAAAUUCCCCGCAACACCAAAUUAAUGGCAUUACGGCUCAUCAGGAAGGAGGAAUCAGUGAGACCAGUACAUACCAGAGGCAUGACCAACCUACUAACCCCGAAAUUCAACUACGAGCUUUUUAACUGCAACAA